GGUAUAUUCAUAAUACAGAAGCUGAGAUAAGCUUAAGCAAUGGCUGUCUUGCUUUAGCCCUUUGCAGGACAUCUUGUAUCUAUUCAGGUGGCUGCAAUGGAACAAGAGGCUGGCUCCAAUGUGCCACUAGGGUGGAGAGACUUCCCUGUUACUCACUCCUAUCAGGUAUCAUUGAUGUAUGAUGCUAAAGCUUCAGGUGGGAACCAGACUUAAGCAAGGAAGGUCAAAGUGAAAUGAAAGCAGCAGUGCUCAUCUCAAGCUUUGUUCACAGUUCUGCAAGAGGAGAAGCACUGUGGAGAAAGUGAUGGCUGGCUCUGUGCCAGUUCCUCAGGUGGUCCCAUUUGGAAUCCCUCUUCCAGAGAAGGCUAACCAUGAAGUAGACGCAAAUGCUCUUCUAGAAACGAAAUCAGGUCUGAGUAAGAGCUUUGAAUCCAGAUGGCACCAUGUCUUCAAUGCCAGCAUCUGCUGCCGGUGAAUACACCCACUUGCACUGGACGUGAGUCACCA
Neopsephotus bourkii (Bourke's parrot) is the source of this 507-nucleotide long non-coding RNA. RefSeq lists it as uncharacterized. The record is from RefSeq and is a predicted model, not a curated record. NCBI's taxonomy places the organism in Eukaryota, Metazoa, Chordata, Aves, Psittaciformes, Psittacidae. The transcript has 3 exons.